This 790-nucleotide ribosomal RNA is filed under the name Acinetobacter calcoaceticus. Its description in RNAcentral is "bacterial SSU rRNA". It matches the Rfam family "Bacterial small subunit ribosomal RNA", at positions 1 to 797 of the family's 1533-position model. Lineage: Bacteria; Pseudomonadati; Pseudomonadota; Gammaproteobacteria; Moraxellales; Moraxellaceae. The record is from RNAcentral.
UUAGUUUGAUCCCUGGCUCAGAUUGAACGCUGGCGGCAGGCUUAAUACAUGCAGUCGAGCGGAGAGAGGUAGCUUGCUACUGAUCUUAGCGGCGGACGGGUGAGUAAUGCUUAGGAAUCUGCCUAUUAGUGGGGGACAACAUUUCGAAAGGAAUGCUAAUACCGCAUACGUCCUACGGGAGAAAGCAGGGGAUCUUCGGACCUUGCGCUAAUAGAUGAGCCUAAGUCGGAUUAGCUAGUUGGUGGGGUAAAGGCCUACCAAGGCGACGAUCUGUAGCGGGUCUGAGAGGAUGAUCCGCCACACUGGGACUGAGACACGGCCCAGACUCCUACGGGAGGCAGCAGUGGGGAAUAUUGGACAAUGGGCGCAAGCCUGAUCCAGCCAUGCCGCGUGUGUGAAGAAGGCCUUAUGGUUGUAAAGCACUUUAAGCGAGGAGGAGGCUACUUUAGUUAAUACCUAGAGAUAGUGGACGUUACUCGCAGAAUAAGCACCGGCUAACUCUGUGCCAGCAGCCGCGGUAAUACAGAGGGUGCAAGCGUUAAUCGGAUUUACUGGGCGUAAAGCGCGCGUAGGCGGCUAAUUAAGUCAAAUGUGAAAUCCCCGAGCUUAACUUGGGAAUUGCAUUCGAUACUGGUUAGCUAGAGUGUGGGAGAGGAUGGUAGAAUUCCAGGUGUAGCGGUGAAAUGCGUAGAGAUCUGGAGGAAUACCGAUGGCGAAGGCAGCCAUCUGGCCUACACGACGCUAGUCAAAGCAUGGGGAGCAAACAGGAUUAGAUACCCUGGGUAGUCCA